CAGUAGCGUAUAUUAAAGUUGUUGCAGUUAAAAAGCUCGUAGUUGGAUUUCUGGCAAGGCAGAGCUGACCUGGUACUAUGUAUGUGUGUUGGACUCGGUCUGCCAUCCUUCCAGAAACGCACUGUACCUUUCAUUAGGCCGUGGUGUUGAUCUGGAACUUUUACUUUGAAAAAUUAGAGUGUUCAAAGCAGGCGUUACGCUAUGAAUACAUUAGCAUGGAAUAAUAAUCUAGGACUUCAGUUCUAUUUUGUUGGUUUCUUAGGACCGAAGUAAUGAUUAAUAGGGACAGUUGGGGGCGAUUUUUAUUUCCAUUGUUCAGAGGUGAAAUUACUUGGAUUAACGGAAGAAAACUAACUGCGAAAGCAUCUGCCAAGGAUGUUUUCUAUUGAUCAAGAACGAAAGUUAGGGAGUCGAAGACGAUUAGAUACCAU
Molecule: ribosomal RNA, 431 nt
Filed under: uncultured eukaryote
Lineage: Eukaryota
Description: bacterial SSU rRNA
Rfam family: Eukaryotic small subunit ribosomal RNA
Source: RNAcentral